GUGAACGCUGGCGGUAGGCCUAACACAUGCAAGUCGAACGGCAGCACAGUAAGAGCUUGCUCUUACGGGUGGCGAGUGGCGGACGGGUGAGGAAUACAUCGGAAUCUACUUUUUCGUGGGGGAUAACGUAGGGAAACUUACGCUAAUACCGCAUACGACCUACGGGUGAAAGCAGGGGAUCUUCGGACCUUGCGCGAUUGAAUGAGCCGAUGUCGGAUUAGCUAGUUGGCGGGGUAAAGGCCCACCAAGGCGACGAUCCGUAGCUGGUCUGAGGGGAUGAGCAGCCACACUGGAACUGCGACACGGUCCAGACUCCUACGGGAGGCAGCAGUGGGGAAUAUUGGACAAUGGGCGCAAGCCUGAUCCAGCCAUACCGCGUGGGUGAAGAAGGCCUUCGGGUUGUAAAGCCCUUUUGUUGGGAAAGAAAAGCAGCAGGUUAAUACCCCGCUGUUCUGACGGUACCCAAAGAAUAAGCACCGGCUAACUUCGUG
Molecule: ribosomal RNA, 491 nt
Filed under: uncultured bacterium
Lineage: Bacteria
Description: partial 16S ribosomal RNA
Rfam family: Bacterial small subunit ribosomal RNA
Source: RNAcentral